RNAcentral lists this ribosomal RNA (500 nucleotides) under Sarocladium sp. Its description in RNAcentral is "partial large subunit ribosomal RNA". It matches the Rfam family "Eukaryotic large subunit ribosomal RNA", at positions 83 to 593 of the family's 3401-position model. Lineage: Eukaryota; Fungi; Ascomycota; Sordariomycetes; Hypocreales; Sarocladiaceae. The record is from RNAcentral.
GUAACGGCGAGUGAAGCGGCAACAGCUCAAAUUUGAAAUCUGGCCGCAAGGUCCGAGUUGUAAUUUGCAGAGGAUGCUUUUGGCGAGGUGCCUUCCGAGUUCCCUGGAACGGGACGCCAUAGAGGGUGAGAGCCCCGUACGGUAGGACCACCGAGCCUUUGUAAAGCUCCUUCGACGAGUCGAGUAGUUUGGGAAUGCUGCUCUAAAUGGGAGGUGUACGUCUUCUAAAGCUAAAUACCGGCCAGAGACCGAUAGCGCACAAGUAGAGUGAUCGAAAGAUGAAAAGCACUUUGAAAAGAGGGUUAAAAAGUACGUGAAAUUGUUGAAAGGGAAGCAUUCAUGACCAGACUUGGGCUUGGUUGAACAUCCGGCGUUCUCGCCGGUGCACUCUGCCAGUCCAGGCCAGCAUCAGUUUGCCCCGGGGGACAAAGGCGGUGGGAAUGUGGCUCUCUCCGGGGAGUGUUAUAGCCCGCCGUGUAAUGCCCUGGGGCGGACUGAGG